This 253-nucleotide ribosomal RNA is filed under the name uncultured bacterium. RNAcentral's name for it is "partial 16S ribosomal RNA". It matches the Rfam family "Bacterial small subunit ribosomal RNA", at positions 524 to 776 of the family's 1533-position model. The record is from RNAcentral.
UACAGAGGCCUCAAGCGUUGUUCGGAUUUAUUGGGCGUAAAGGGUGCGUAGGCGGUACCGAAAGUUAGGUGUGAAAGUUCGAGGCUCAACCUCGAAAUUGCACCUAAUACUCCGGUGCUUGAGUCUCAUAGAGGAAUCUGGAAUUCACGGUGUAGCAGUGAAAUGCGUAGAUAUCGUGAAGAAGGCCUGUGGCGAAAGCAAGAUUCUGGGUGACGACUGACGCUGAGGCACGAAAGCCAGGGGAGCAAACGGG